AUGUCAUUAUUGUUACGCCGACCACCAGGCCGUGAGGCAUUCCAAGGGGAUGUUUUCUAUUUACAUUCCCGUCUCUUCGAAAGAGCCGCUAAACGAUCAGACCAGACAGGUGCAGGUAGCUCGACUGCGUUACCCGUGAUUGAAACACAAGCUGGAGACGUAUCGGCCUAUAUCCCCGCCAAUGUGAUCUCCAUUACAGAUGGACAAAUCUGUUUGGAAACAGAGCUCUUUUAUCGUGGAAUUAGACCAGCUAUUAACAUUGGCUUAUCUAUCAGUCGCGUCUGGUCUGCCGCUCAGUUGAAAGCUAUGAAACAAGUCUGCGGUAGUUCAAAACUGGAAUUGGCACAAUAUCGCGAAGUGGCCGCCUUCACUCAAUUUGGGUCAGACCUUGAUGCUGCGACUCAGGCAAUACUCAGUAGAGGUCCAAGGCUUACAGAAGUGCCCAAACAACCACAAUAUGAACCACUUCCAAUUGAAAAACAAAUUGUUGUGAUCUAUGCUGCUGUCAACAGCUUCUGUGAUCGAAUGCCACUAGACCGAAUUUCUCAAUAUGAAAAAGCCAUUCUAAGUACUAAUCCAGAAUUACAAAAAUCCUUCUUAGAAAAAGGUGGCUUAACUAACGAAAGAAAGGUGGUAUGUAUGUUUUUUCACAUAUAA
RNAcentral lists this ribosomal RNA (657 nucleotides) under Triticum aestivum (bread wheat). Its description in RNAcentral is "partial small subunit ribosomal RNA". The record is from RNAcentral. Lineage: Eukaryota; Viridiplantae; Streptophyta; Magnoliopsida; Poales; Poaceae.